UGUAACGGGCCAAUUGCUCUUAGCAUUCGGAACACUUUAAAUACCAAGCCUGUCCCGUGUGUUUGUUGUGAACUUAACACCCCAAUACUAAUAUGUUGAUUCACUCCAUUAGUUCCAUAUGUAAUUCUAAGCCUUCUUACUGUUAAAAAAAAAAAAAAAACUCUUAAAUAAAAAUAAAAAAUACUGUCUUCCUGGGCAGACUGAGGUUCUCCUCUAAGAGGACAAAGUUGAUGAUUAACUGCAGACUUUCAUCUUGGGCUCCAUAUCUAAUUCUCCGGAUUCACAGGCAGCCCUGCGGAGUCAUACCGCGGCCCCCAGCGCCUGGGGCACAGACACCCACUUCGGUCUGGAUGGAGCCCGCAUCUCCCCUGAGCCAGUGCUGAACACCUCGACCCUUCUCUUCCGCACCUGAGCAGACAGUCGUGCCGAGCGAAGACGCCGUUGUCCCCAGCCCGCUCCCUGCAACGGAGGUCUGGCUAUGGAGCGCUGAAGUCAUGUCGUCAACAAGGUCAGUGGGUAAAAACUGAAGGUGGAAUGACCCUACGUAUGGUGACGUGUCCAUGGAUGUUUGCGGUCAAGACAUGGGGAGCAACAGGAGUAACGGGGGAACAGCAGUCACGCUGUUUCCCAGACGCAAGUGGGCAGGGAGCCGUAAUGUCCCAAGACCAGCGUGCUCUGUGCAUCCCUGAACUCCUCCUACGUGGGACUCUCCGUGACCGUGGAUCCCAAUCGAGUGCUGCCAAAAUAUUCCCUUUUCUCCUAAAAUUCCUUUAUUUUGCAGAAGUUCCAAGUUAAACAAACUCAUUCAGGAAUUACUAAAAUCAAACGUUUGCAAUAAAAAAAGGUUAUAAAGAA
Neogale vison (American mink) is the source of this 855-nucleotide long non-coding RNA. RefSeq lists it as uncharacterized. The transcript has 3 exons. The record is from RefSeq and is a predicted model, not a curated record. Lineage: Eukaryota; Metazoa; Chordata; Mammalia; Carnivora; Mustelidae.